GGUGGGAUGGCUCAGCGGUUAAGAGCACUGACUGAUAUUCCAGAGUUCCUGAGUUCAAUUCCCAGCCACUG
This 71-nucleotide transfer RNA is filed under the name Rattus norvegicus (Norway rat). It matches the Rfam family "tRNA". From Rfam's summary of the family: Transfer RNA (tRNA) molecules are approximately 80 nucleotides in length. Lineage: Eukaryota; Metazoa; Chordata; Mammalia; Rodentia; Muridae. The record is from Rfam by way of RNAcentral.